GUACAUUACUUCCUGUUUUCGUCAAAACAAGGACAGAGAGGGAAGCCAUCAAAGCAGCAAUCUGUUCGCAUCCUUAGCGCCGGAAUGACAAAUCAAUGUCUCUGCAGGUGUACCUAAUGUUGUGGCCCAGCAGUCAUUCACAAAGGGAAAACGGCCCCGCCCCAUCAGCGACCGGGCCUCCCCACCUGAGACAGCUGCAGCUGGACCGUCGAGCAUGGGUUAGGUUGGCACACAUCUGGACGAUUAAAGAGGAAAGCCACUUUCUGAGUUGACUCCCGGGAGAUCCUUUGGCGGGCUGCGGUUAUCACUUUUGGCCCGAGAUCAAGCCCAUGACACACAGAUGAUGCUAAUGGAGGAGCUGGGCAACAUGUUACUGUCAUUCUUCAGGAUCAAAUGCCAUAUUUUAUAUUAUGUGAGCGCCUGAAAUUAAAGCUAAAAGUCCAAACUUCACACAUCUUCACAUUGUUUAUGUCGUUAGUCAUUUGAUUUAUUUGAUAUGAUGUGUUUAUGUCACACAAGUUGCAAUGUUUUUAGGCUUAUUACAAUUAAAUCAACUUGUCUGAAUUAGUUAUCUUCCUUAUCAUGUUGACCUCAAAAGGCGCAGGAUUGCAACAUCAUUUGGAAAUAAAUACUGUAAAGAUGUUUUGCUUUUUAUAUUUACUCAUUUUAUUCAUUUAAAAUUCAUUGCGGAUUCAUUUUAAAAUAAUUGUGGUGGUGUAUAGGGAGAAGGCGGAAUAGGAUUUCAACACAAUUUGGAAAACAAAUGUUUUAUUGAGGUUUUACUCCUUUUAUUUACUUGUUGUAUUCUAUUUAUUUGUUUAAAAUUCAUUGUGGAUUUAUUUUAUUUAUCUAUUAUUUUUUUAAAUAAUUGUUG
Molecule: long non-coding RNA, 874 nt
Organism: Entelurus aequoreus (snake pipefish)
Lineage: Eukaryota; Metazoa; Chordata; Actinopteri; Syngnathiformes; Syngnathidae
Exons: 3
Source: RefSeq, a predicted model, not a curated record